GAUGAGCGCUGGCGGCGUGCCUAAUACAUGCAAGUCGAGCGAACGGACGAGAAGCUUGCUUCUCUGAUGUUAGCGGCGGACGGGUGAGUAACACGUGGAUAACCUACCUAUAAGACUGGGAUAACUUCGGGAAACCGGAGCUAAUACCGGAUAAUAUUUUGAACCGCAUGGUUCAAAAGUGAAAGACGGUCUUGCUGUCACUUAUAGAUGGAUCCGCGCUGCAUUAGCUAGUUGGUAAGGUAACGGCUUACCAAGGCAACGAUGCAUAGCCGACCUGAGAGGGUGAUCGGCCACACUGGAACUGAGACACGGUCCAGACUCCUACGGGAGGCAGCAGUAGGGUAUCUUCCGCAAUGGGCGAAAGCCUGACGGAGCAACGCCGCGUGAGUGAUGAAGGUCUUCGGAUCGUAAAACUCUGUUAUUAGGGAAGAACAUAUGUGUAAGUAACUGUGCACAUCUUGACGGUACCUAAUCAGAAAGCCACGGCUAACUACGUGCCAGCAGCCGCGGUAAUACGUAGGUGGCAAGCGUUAUCCGGAAUUAUUGGGCGUAAAGCGCGCGUAGGCGGUUUUUUAAGUCUGAUGUGAAAGCCCACGGCUCAACCGUGGAGGGUCAUUGGAAACUGGAAAACUUGAGUGCAGAAGAGGAAAGUGGAAUUCCAUGUGUAGCGGUGAAAUGCGCAGAGAUAUGGAGGAACACCAGUGGCGAAGGCGACUUUCUGGUCUGUAACUGACGCUGAUGUGCGAAAGCGUGGGGAUCAAACAGGAUUAGAUACCCUGGUAGUCCACGCCGUAAACGAUGAGUGCUAAGUGUUAGGGGGUUUCCGCCCCUUAGUGCUGCAGCUAACGCAUUAAGCACUCCGCCUGGGGAGUACGACCGCAAGGUUGAAACUCAAAGGAAUUGACGGGGACCCGCACAAGCGGUGGAGCAUGUGGUUUAAUUCGAAGCAACGCGAAGAACCUUACCAAAUCUUGACAUCCUUUGACAACUCUAGAGAUAGAGCUUUCCCCUUCGGGGGACAAAGUGACAGGUGGUGCAUGGUUGUCGUCAGCUCGUGUCGUGAGAUGUUGGGUUAAGUCCCGCAACGAGCGCAACCCUUAAGCUUAGUUGCCAUCAUUAAGUUGGGCACUCUAAGUUGACUGCCGGUGACAAACCGGAGGAAGGUGGGGAUGACGUCAAAUCAUCAUGCCCCUUAUGAUUUGGGCUACACACGUGCUACAAUGGACAAUACAAAGGGCAGCGAAACCGCGAGGUCAAGCAAAUCCCAUAAAGUUGUUCUCAGUUCGGAUUGUAGUCUGCAACUCGACUACAUGAAGCUGGAAUCGCUAGUAAUCGUAGAUCAGCAUGCUACGGUGAAUACGUUCCCGGGUCU
Molecule: ribosomal RNA, 1372 nt
Filed under: uncultured bacterium
Lineage: Bacteria
Description: bacterial SSU rRNA
Rfam family: Bacterial small subunit ribosomal RNA
Source: RNAcentral